CCUACGGGUGGCAGCAGUGGGGAAUAUUGCACAAUGGGGGAAACCCUGAUGCAGCGACGCCGCGUGAGUGAAGAAGUAUUUCGGUAUGUAAAGCUCUAUCAGCAGGGAAGAACAUGCAGGUACCUGAUUAAGAAGCACCGGCUAACUACGUGCAAGCAGCCGCGGUAAUACGGAGGGGGCAAGCGUUAUCCGGAUUUACUGGGUGGAAAGGGAGCGUGGACGGUGAUGCAAGUCAGAUGUGAAAGCCCGGGGCUCAACUCCGGAACUGCCUUUGAAACUGUGUGACUGGAGUGCAGGAGAGGUAAGCGGAAUUCCUGGUGUAGCGGUGAAAUGCGUAGAUAUCAGGAGGAACACCAGUGGCGAAGGCGGCUAACUGGACUGUAACUGACGUUGAGGCGCGAAAGCGUGGGGAGCAAACAGGAUUAGAUACCCGGGUAGUC
RNAcentral lists this ribosomal RNA (440 nucleotides) under uncultured bacterium. RNAcentral describes it as "partial 16S ribosomal RNA". It matches the Rfam family "Bacterial small subunit ribosomal RNA", at positions 338 to 795 of the family's 1533-position model. The record is from RNAcentral.